GAUGAACGCUGGCGGCGUGCCUAAUACAUGCAAGUCGAGCGAACAGACGAUGCUCUUGCUCCUCUGACGUUAGCGGCGGACGGGUGAGUAACACGUGGAUAACCUACCUAUAAUACUUGGAUAACUUCGUGAAACCGGAGCUAAUACCGGAUAAUAUAUUGAUUCGCAUGGUUCAAUAGUGAAAGACGGUUUUGCUGUCACUUAUCGAUGGUUCCGCGCCGCAUUAGCUAGUUGUUAAGGUAACGGCUUAUCAAGGCAACGAUGCGUAGCCGACCUGAAAGGAUGAACGACCAAAUUCGAAUUGAGACAGAGACCUGACUCAUACGGGAGGAAGCAGCAGGAGAGCUUACGCAUGGGGCAAGAACCUGACAAAGCAACGCCGCGUGGGUAAUGAAAGUCUUCGGAUCGUAAAGCUCUGUUAUUAGGGAAGAACAAAUGUGAAAGGUACUAUGGACGUAUUGACGGUAACAGAUAAGAAAGCCACGGCUAACUACGUG
Molecule: ribosomal RNA, 497 nt
Filed under: uncultured bacterium
Lineage: Bacteria
Description: partial 16S ribosomal RNA
Rfam family: Bacterial small subunit ribosomal RNA
Source: RNAcentral